GAUGAACGCUGGCGGUAUGCUUAACACAUGCAAGUCGAGGGGCAAGACAAUGUAUCUGUCUAUCUCUCUAGCGACCGACGGACGGGUACGAAACGCGUAUGCAACUUUCGCUAUACAGGAGGCUAACCCGACCAAAGACUAACUACGACUGCGUAUUCUCACAACUUGGCAUCAAGUGGUAAGGUAAGUACUUCGGUAUAGGAUAGGCUUGCGUCCCAUUAGCUUGUUGGUGAGGUAAUGGCUUACCAAGGCAACGACGGGUGGCCGGCCUGAGAGGGGGACCGGCAACAUGGGGACAGAGAUACGGCCCAGACUCCUACGGGAGGCAGCAGUGGGGAAGAUUGCACAAUGGGCGGAAGCCGGAUGCAGCAACGCCGCGUGCGGGAUGACGGCCUUCGGGUUGUAGACCGCUUUCGCCUGUGACGAAGCGUGAGUGACGGUAAUGGGUAAAGAAGCACCGGCUAACUACGUG
RNAcentral lists this ribosomal RNA (472 nucleotides) under uncultured bacterium. RNAcentral's name for it is "partial 16S ribosomal RNA". It matches the Rfam family "Bacterial small subunit ribosomal RNA", at positions 28 to 507 of the family's 1533-position model. The record is from RNAcentral.